This 253-nucleotide ribosomal RNA is filed under the name uncultured bacterium. Its description in RNAcentral is "partial 16S ribosomal RNA". It matches the Rfam family "Bacterial small subunit ribosomal RNA", at positions 524 to 776 of the family's 1533-position model. The record is from RNAcentral.
UACGGAGGGGGCAAGCGUUAUCCGGAUUUACUGGGUUUAAAGGGUGCGCAGGCGGAUAUGUAAGUCAGUGGUGAAAUCUUCCCGCUUAACGGGAAAACUGCCGUUGAUACUAUAUAUCUUGAAUGCUGUGGAGGUAAGCAGAAUAUGUCAUGUAGCGGUGAAAUGCUUAGAUAUGACAUAGAACACCCAUUGCGAAGGCAGCUAACUACACGAUCAUUGACACUGAGGCACGAAAGCGUGGGGAGCAAACAGG